This 337-nucleotide unclassified non-coding RNA is filed under the name soil metagenome. RNAcentral's name for it is "partial contains 5.8S ribosomal RNA, internal transcribed spacer 2, and large subunit ribosomal RNA". The stretch from base 1 to 120 matches the Rfam family "5.8S ribosomal RNA", at positions 35 to 154 of the family's 154-position model. The record is from RNAcentral.
GAUGAAGAACGUAGCGAAAUGCGAUAAGUAGUGUGAAUUGCAGAAUUCAGUGAAUCAUCGAAUCUUUGAACGCACAUUGCGCCCCAUGGUAUUCCGUGGGGCAUGCCUGUUCGAGCGUCAUUUACCCCCUCAAGCUCCGCUUGGUGUUGGGCGUCUGUCCCGCUUCGCGCGCGGACUCGCCCCAAAGGUAUUGGCAGCGGUCGUGCCAGCUUCUCGCGCAGCACAUUGCGCUUCUCGAGGCACCGGUGGGCCCGCGUACAUCAAGCUCACCCCCCCAGUUUGACCUCGGAUCAGGUAGGGAUACCCGCUGAACUUAAGCAUAUCAAUAAGCGGAGGA